CUUUUUUUUUUUUACCUCUGAACGCGCUAGAUCCACCUUGCAUCGCUUGUGUGGUGGCUUUUAAUGCGGUAAAACUCACUAUUCAGUCGGUCUUGAUUUCGUCCUCUAUCAUCUCUCCCAUUUUGAUGACUUCAAUAAAAGACUUUCCCAUUUCCAGAAGUAAAUAUUGAAAAUAAGUCUCAUCAUGUGCCUGAAUGAAAACCUCUACCAGCUUACUCUUCUUCAUUGGAGGAUUUACCCUGGUGGCCUGUUCACGCCACCUUAUCGCGUAUUCACUAAAGCUUUUAGUUUUUUUCUUCUUUAUGUUGCCGAAGGAUUUUUUGUCAGGAAUCAGGUAGACAUUAUACUGAAAAUGUUUCACAAACUCAGAAGCUAAGUCAUCCCAGCUGAUCCACUUAUCGAUAUCUUGAUCGGCAAAUUAUUCUGAAGCCAGAUCGAAAAGAUUUUCGCCAAAGAAAGCCAUAAGCAACUCCUCCCUUCCCCCUUACAGCCCUCAACUGGUUGCAAUAACGUCUCAAGUGUGCUACAGGAUCACCGUGCGCAACAUACUUCUCGAUCUUAGGCAUUUUAAAAUCGAGGGGAAGGUUGACGUCUAGGAAUAUACAAAGAUCUUUAUAGGAAACACUCUUGUAACCUCUGGUUCCCUGCAGAUUCCUCAUGGCCUGUUCCAAAAUUUUCAAUUUUUGUGAUAUGACCUCCUAUUCCUCUAUUGUGAUAGGUUUCUCCGUAUCAAAUGGAAAUACAGAUGGCUGAGUAUACCCAUAUGGUUAAUUCAUUCUCAAAGUAGGCUCCGGGGUAUAAUACUGACUAUCUGAAACCUUCAAUUCUGGCUCACUGGCAGACCGAGAAAGCACCAUUAUCGGACACACAACAUAUGUGGGAGCUUCAGGUGGUGGCGGAGCCAUGAACACAGGAGCUUCCGGUGGCGCCGGCUGAGUCAUGGGCCUUGGUUGAGGAAAUGCCAGGGGAACACUAGAAGUGCCAGGGUAAUAUUGCCGUGGAGUGAAUCCUGGUGCGUGCUUCGAUGACUUAAUGGGAACAGAGAAUUGUACCUGAGAGAGCGGUGGGCAAUUGGGGAUAUUCCCAAGAUCUUCAUGAAGUGGAGGAGGAGGCAAGCCACUAGCCCAUGCUCGGUGCAGAUCUAGCAAUUGUUGUCUAAGUCUUAAUACCUCAUCAUUGCGUUCUGAACUUUCUUCCCUGGGAUCCUGUUCAGGGUCAAUAAGUAAAUUUUCAAUCUCCCUACUAGCCAUGGCAAGCUUCGCUUUUGAUCUAGUGAAGUACGGAUGACUAGCCAGAGUUCUACAAACCAACCACUUAUCUGAAAGAACAUGCUCAUCAAAGGCAAAACCCGUUAGGAUUAGGUCAGGCAACAAGCAUAGAAAUCACAUUGUAUACAUCCUAGGUUUAUGCACAUUUCUACCGGCCUUUGAGGGUAAUAAGGUCAUUUUAACAUCAUCCCAAUUUCCCCAUUACAUUAUCACACCUCGUUCUUUCUGUUUUUCACCUUCAUUUCUCUCUUCUUUUGCAUCAGUCUCUUCUCUUCCUCUUUUCUUCUCUUAUUGCUCUUUCUUUUUUUCCUGCUCUCACGAUCUCAUUUCCUUUUAUCAUUCUUAUGGCUUUUAUGUUUCUUUAAAAGAGGAAAAUUGGGAAAAAUCAAAGAAACAAAACGAUUAGAUCGAACCCAAAAGUACAUGAAUCAGAUCUUGCGUAGUUCGAGCAAUGCAUGAAUAAACACCACAAAGUUGAAGAUUUGUUUUUUUAGAGAAAGAACACACAAAAGGAAACAAGUCUAGAACUUCACUACAUUUCAUAAAAGAGACAAUUGAAACAAACUUCGAGUUUAAGAAAGCUUAAAAACUGAUCAACAAAGAAUAAACAACAUUCCAGACCCAUAAGAUAACAUGAGUAAUACUCCUAGUAAAGACUCUUAACGUUUAAAACAAACUUGACCCCGACUGAGCAAAGACACAACAAUACAAGGACAGAAAGAUAAAGGACUCAAAGUAAAUAAAAGAUAAGAGUUGCUCCUUCACAUUGGUGCGCUGUGGGAUGACCCUGGAUGAGAUGGACCUAUCUGUGAAGUUAUCUUUCUCCCAUUCAAACUUUGUAGCAUAUCCUGCAAAGACACCCUGAUAUUUGGGAAGAAAUUUCUGGCACGUAUCCCCUCCUCAUGGAGAAUGCACCUUGAGAGAUUGUGCUGACACCUUUCUACAGUCUUGAGCAAAUCUGAUAACUGAACUCUCAGUGUCUCCACUUUGGCCCCCUCACUUUCAUCCUGACUGUCAUCGACAAUACAUUCUUCAUGUAUUCUUCCUCUUAAGUUGUAAGGGAAAUGGCCUACUAAUGAUCUCAUAUCUUUAAGUGUACCCUAGAUUAUACAGACCUACUUUGAGAGUAUCGACACCUAGCUUUAUUGCGUGAUUCCAGAAUUCUUCGUAUUUACUUUUGCCUAAGGCUUGAUCCUUAAAAUGAUCUACAUCCUUCAGAAGGUCCAUUACCGGUGGAACGUCCUGCAGUCUACCCAACUGGCGCAUUACCCUAAAAGAAGAGUACGGGCUGGUGCAAUUGAUUCCUAACAAGACUAAAAGAGGUUGCAUCCGAUAACCACACAAGAUUAUUUUUGGACGAAACCAUAGAUAGGUCCACAGAAUGUUGUCUUCAGUUCUUGAUUCAAGAAGUUCAGCCCAAGCAUCAAUCCCUAUCGGCAGCGAGAACUUAUCAAAACACAUUCUCUGAUUCAUAGCGUUCACUCGCUCAGGCAUACAAUGAUCAAUCACAUCCAACCUAAUCAAAGAAGGCUCUUGCAAGUGCUCCAUCAUCCACAAUUGCAAUAUCAGGUUGCUUUCCUCAAAGAAUCUUAUCCCGCCCUUCACCUCGGUUAAAGCUUUAUAUAUUUCUGCCAAGAUCAUAGGUAUGAGUGUGAAUGUUUUCCCUAGAUUUUUAUGAAAUAAGGCCAUCACUACAAUCUGCAAGCGAGUAUUAACCCGUCUUUCUUCUAAUGGGAAGGCCAAAAUGCCCAACAAGGUGAAAGCAAAGACUUCUAGACGACGUUUCUCCCAAUUCUUCUUGGUUGUAUAGAACUCAUCCCAAAAUCAAUCAAAACCAUCUGAAGGCUCAAAUCGAGCAUACAAAUAAUCAAAGGAGACCCAAGAUUUGUUAAGGCAUGUCAAGUGGUUAUUGUCCUUUAAACCAUAACCAUAAAUAAACCGUGUGGGAGAAUAAGUCCGUGCCCGAAUUAUUGUUUUCUUAAUGUAAGGCAACUUAAAGAAACCAGAUAUCUCUACCAUAUUAGGCGUCAUUUCACAAUUUCCAAACCUAAACACCAAAUAGCUUGGAUCCCAAAAUGUCAAUAUAGCCUCGAUCAGGUCUGGGCAGGGCGUAAGAUCUAGGAAAGAAGUGAGAGUGCCUAACUUCUUUGCCAACCCCUAUUGCUCGACGUAGUUAAAUGUGCCCCACCAUUUGAUUAACUUUUUGGCCACCUUGACAACCAUCCGGACUCUGGACUUUGUGGACAGAUCUAUCCUGUAAUGACACAUGAGAUAUUAUGAUUCCAAUUCAUGAAUAGUAUCACUGAAUAAAUCAGCCUACUUGGCUAAGACUUGCUAACAACACCAAAUUAUGAGGAAAAAGACCUAGGCUAAGGCUAAGACAAAGGCAAAAAGAUAAAGAUUAUCGGACCCACCGAGGGUUGCCUACGUAUCUUGCCCCCUAGGGACGGGAAUCAGGUAUGCGUAGUUCGUCCAGGUUGGACAAUUAAGGAUUAAAAUAAACUAAGACUUGACUGGAGAGACGCGAUUACAGACGGACGAUGAGAAAUAAAAUCUUUUUGGGUUUUUUAAUUAGACACUUCAUAUAACAUUGACAUGAACAACUAUGACAGAAAAAUCUUUUUUGUAUUUUUAAGAAAAUGAGUGUGAAAGGUAAAAAAUCUUUUUGAAUUUUUGGAUUGUGAAAAACAAAAGCCAUAAAGAACUCUAAAAACUACGAAACUCUUUUUUUUUACUCCUUUUUUUUUACUCACUCUUUUCAUUGCCUACAUAUUUUAUUUAUAACACAUGUUUUCCCCAAAUUUGUCCGUCAAAUGACCCCAUUACCCUCAAAGGUCCAACAUUUAGCACGUAGGGAUGCGUCAAAGAUGAGUCUCCUACAAAGGAUCAAAUAGGCCCCACUAGGUCUAAAUAUGAUGCACAUAAGUAUGACCUAAAGGCUGACCUACACUGGGGUUUACUAACAAGGCUGUUCAGGGGAACGUAUGGUCGAUAGUGACUGUUUUGGCUGUCCACCUACUCCAUACCAGCCAACGGCUCCCCCUCUAAGAUAAGGGUGACUCAACUAUAGGUCGUGUACACAGCGUGUACUACAGUACUUGUUGCAGAAAGAAUUGACUUGGGUUAUGCACAUGAUGCCAGAUAUAAAGCAGUAACACAUAGGAAAACUGUAAACAAAGAGUGCAUAAGCAUGCCACAAUGAUAAAACAAUACAAACAGUCACACAAACACGUUUAUACACCCAUAAUGUCAAACUAAGCCGAUAUAACUCCAAAAAGAAAUAAGUUCGAAUUUUGAAAAGUCCUCACAGAGUCGCCAAAACUGUCACACCCCUUUUUUCAACACGAAAAAGAUUGGAUUUUAUGGUUCGAAAGGGUUUUUAUUAUUAAAGUGACAAAAGGAUGAAAAUCUAUUUUAAAAAGGGACUAUUGACAUUUUUUAUUCAGAGUCGCCACUUGACAUAAUCCGGUGUGCCAAGUCACCUUUGGAAAAUCCUUUUCAAAACAUUUUGACUCUUGAAACUGGUUUGCGAACAGAGAUUCCAGUUAAGGAAUUCUGUUAAACCGAGGGGAAGGUGUUAGGAACCCCUCGAUCCCGUGGUUUGACCACGAUCGCUUGGUAGGGAGUAUCGGCUAACUUGACAUCAACGAGUGUAUAAACCACAUGAAACACAUAAGGUAAUCAAUCAAACAAACACACCCAAACAAAUCCCCAAAAUAAUAUUUAGGCCAAUUAUACAGACCAAAGUAAAAAGAAAUACGAAAAUAUAAAUCCUAUUCUAACCUACCCUAAUGCUAACUAUGCUCCCAUGCUACCCGAUGCCUCGGGCCUUCAUCACGGACGUCCUCCGAGUACAAAAUACUUCGGAACAUUCUCCGGAGAAAAUAAUACAAGUACUUCGGGGCAUUCCCCGGCUAAAUGAUACAAUUAAAUCAAGUACGACAAACUUAGAAAAUAUUCAAUAAACAUUCCAUAAUUCAAAUAUUCAACGAAAAACUAAAUCCAAAAUUUUGCCUACCCGAACUUACAUUGCCUAUCCGUUUCCACAUGUCAUAGCUCUUUCACGUUCACACAAUGUUUAUGCAUAUUCCGGAUUAACAAAAAUAAUAAUAAACCCACAUUAAUCUAAUUCAACCCCUAUUAUCAAGUUCUCAAUUCCACCCCCCGCUAGCGUCGUUUUUAUCAAUCAACAAUCAACACAUGAUCAAAUUCUUUCCUCAAACCACCAUAGCUAAAUCAACAAACAUCAUGAUCAACAUCAACAAUAAAGCCAACAAAUAUAAUAACAUCACACAUAAUCACAACCAAUUCGACACACCAAGAUAAAUAAAAAAGAGAGGGGUUAAGAAAUGGACCUUUCGAUAUCGAUUUUCGUUGAUAAUAUGAGUUAAGAAAACCCGAGUUUGGAAUCCUUGAUAGCACCUCAAUGAUGAAUAAGCUCCAAACUCGAUAUUAGAAUAAUAGCCAAACAGCUUUGAGACCAGUGAGUAUGAACUCCUAACGCAGGAUUUAAAUCACGAACGAGGACCCGAUUGACCAUGAAACCAAUCGAAAUCUGAUAUCGACGACAAAAAAAAUAAAAGACGAACCCAAAAUCCCAAUGACCCAAUAGAAAACUGAAACCUGAUGUAGACCGAGCUCCAGUAAGCUCCGAUGAUGGCCGAAACAGGGGGUCAAGAUGACACUGACGCGUUCUAAUGUUUCUAGGCCAUAUUCACUUCGGAGCCUGUAAGAAAACGUUGAGAUUUCUCUGAUUUUAAGACGGGUUAGAUAAUCGACACACUGGACGGAUCUCCGGCAAAGAAGUUCACCAGAAAAAUAAGCAACUCAGUGGAUUCUCGUUCUCAUCCCCUUCCCCGAUCUCCCUAUUACAACCUCGCUUCCUCUUAUCGAUUUUUCUUUCUAUCUGGGUAUAUAUCGUGAGUGUGCCUUCAUAAAAGAAAUGAAAAGAAAUAAAGAAAAAAAAAUUAUGGUAUUGGUCUUCUCUGUUUUCUCUACGAGGAUGAUGAUGAAGAAGCAAAAGGGCACAAUCCAACAUAUAGCCCCCUUCCUAAUCUCUAUGUGCGUGUAUAUAUAUUUCUGUGAGAGGGGUAUGGGGCACGCGAGUGGGGUGAGGGGGUAGGGGUAGGAUAUCUUAAAAUUUCCUGGGAGGUUCCUCGUGGGCGCCCCUGGUAUAUGUGAUGUUGUGUAUAUUAUAUUUAUAAAUAAAACAAAUGGAAAAUGGUCAGCAAAAUGAAAAAUUCUAAAUUGGAAGUAUAUCCUUGUGGGUCCCUCCAAGUUGUUAUCUUGGUGUGUAUGUAUAUUCUUUCUUUGUGGACAAGAAAAUGAGAGGGGGAGGGAGGUCACGUGGGUGUGGUGUCCUAAUUUUAUUGUAGGGGUUGUUAGGGUGUUGAAAAUAAGACAAAAAUUGUUAUGAUUUUUUAUUUGGAUAAUGAAAAGAUAAAUAAAUAGAUAAGUAAAAUAAUGAGGGGGUUAUUUAUUUUCAUGGGGAAAAAUUACUACGUGGAUAGGGUAUGUAGUAAAAUGGGGUAAACGAUAAAAUUUGUGAAGGGACGAAAUUACGUGUCUGCAAAUGUAAUGGAGUUACUUGCAAUUAGUCGAUCAAUUAUUGUUGUAAUUCCAUAUCUCUUACAUACGUAGAGAAUGAAAUGAAUGUACGUACAUAUGAUAUUUCAUAUUAAAACUAUGUUGUUGUUUGGUUCUUCAUGAGCAUCAUGUCACUUAUAAGGUAUACUAUCUACUAGAAUAAGUGACUAAGUUAUCUUAUUGAAUAAGUAUGUACAUACAUAUGUAUUGUGUGUGUAUGUAUGUUUUGUAGUGUAUGAAUGUUGAUGUUGAGUGUCUUAAAGAUUGUUGGGUUUGUUAUAAAUGUAAUGGAGUUACUUGCAAUUAAUCGAUCGAUCAUCGUUAUAAUUCCAUAUCUCUUACGUAUCUAAAGAAUGAAAUGAACGUACGUACGUGUGAUAUUUUGUAUUAAAACUAUACUUUUCUUUGUUUUUCAAGAGCACCAUGUGACUUGUAAGAGAUAUACAAUCUACUAGAAUAAGUGACUAAGUUAUCCCGUUGAAUAAGUAUGUACAUACAUAUAUAUUAUUUGUAUGUAUGUUUCUGUACUGUAUGAAUGUUGAUGCUAAGUGUGUUAAAGAUUGUUGGGAUUGCUGCAAAUGUAAUGGAGUUACUUGCAAUCAAUCGACUGAUCUCGUCAUAAUUUCGUAUCUCUUACUUAGAGAAUGAAAUAAACAAACGUGUGUGUGAUAUAUCAUAUUGAAACUAUAUUGUUGUUUGGUUUUACAUGAGCAUCGUGUCACUUGUAAGGUAUACUACCUACUAGAAUAAGUGACUAAGUUAUUUUGUUGAAUAAGUAUGUACGUACGUAUGUAUUUUGUGUGUGUAUAAUCUUUAUUGUAUAAAUGUUGAUGAUGGACGAUGUCUUGAAGUUGUUGGAUUUGUUCCAAUGUAAUGGAGUACUUGCAAUUUAUCGAUUGACUAACCAUUGUUGUAAUUUUCUAUCUCUUACGUACCUAGAGAAUGAAAUGAAAGUACGUACGUACGUUGUAGACACGUAAUUUUAUCCCGUAAAAAUAUUUCUUAUUUCGUUAUCACACACUUUAACCCCCAUUUUUAUAAUUUUCCACAAGAAAAAAAAACAAAUAAAAUAACCACUUCAUUUUAUUUAUUUAUUUAUUUAUUUAAAUAACAAAUCCUAAAAAAUUUUGGCUUCUUUUAAAACUUCCCAACAACCCCUCCAAUAAAAAGACAACACCUCACCUAACUACCCUUCCCAUCCCUAUACCCAUACACCUCACCUAUUUCUUUCUUUACACUUUUUAUUUCUUGGAAAAAAAUAAGAGUAGGACAAUUCUAUUAGGAUGGGGCCACGGAUUUGGAUCCAUUCUUCACAUAUGUACACCUAAUCAUCAUCUUCAUUGGGAGGAAAGGGAGAGAGAGAAAAGAACGGAGGGGGUCAUCAUCUUCAUUGGAGAGACGCCACUUUGAAGAGGGGAUCUCCAUUUUUAUUUUCCUUUUGCUCUUCACCUUCACACAGAGUAAAAUCCACCACUCCCUCACGGAAUGCACACACACACACACACACCUCUCACUGAUCUGAGAAAACACACAUCUACAUACGAAUUAACACAUACAUACAGAAAAGGUAUAGAGAGAGAGAGCUGCGAGAUACGGUGAGAAGAGUCUAGAUCGGUAGAGAGCAACGAAGAGAGAAAAUAGGCGAGGUAACGAAAUGAAUGGUACAGUCGCUGGCGCUGGUGUCUCACAUGACACACAAUUUCUAUAUUCAGAACACUGUUCCGGCGACGUUCAGUUGGAACUGAGUUUUUUGGCUAGCUCUUCGCCGGAAUCGAUUAGUUGUUAUCUGGGUUCAUUGAUUUUCAUACUGAUUUUUGGGAUUUAGCUUCUGUCCCAAUCGAAUCGUCCUUCUUUAUCUUUGGGUUUCAAAUUUCCCAAUACCGUGAUUGGUUCAUCGCUAUUGAGGUAUUCGUCUUGGGGUUUCAAGUCCGGGUGUUCUUAAACUUUAUUAUCAACGAAACUUUCUUCAAAGGUCCAUCUCUUAACUCUACUUUUUAAUUGUCUCGAAUGUGGCUAUGUCAUGAUUUUGUAUGUGGUUUUGAAUAUUGUCUGUAGCAUUAACCAUCGUUGUGGGUAUGAAUGAUUAUGUGCUUAAUAUGUUUGAAUUGUCGUUGGGCGGAUGUAUGGAUAUUGGUUUUGAGACUGUGAAGGGUGAUUUGAACUGAGGAAUUUGUUAAUCAUUCAUUGUUUAAAGGAAUCCAAUUGAGGGGUGGGAUUAAGAAAUUGAUAAAAAGUUGAACGUAGAUAAAUUUUGGGUUUGUUGUUGAUUUGCUCGGAAUACGCAUAAAUAUCGUUGAAACAUAUAGGCAAAUGUCGGUUUGGGUAGGCAAAACUUAGGAGUAAUGUUUUUAUUAAAUGUUUUGAAUGUUUAAUGUGCGUGUGAAUGUUUGUUUCUAGUUUAUCGUAUUUAAUUCAAAUGUAUUUAUUUAGAUGGGGAAUGCCUCGAGACACAUUAUAUUUAUUCACCGGGGAAUGAACCGACAUACUAUGUUGACAGAAUACGUUCAUGAGGAAGGUCCGAGGCGUAGGGUAAAGCAUGGGAGCGUAGUUGAGAUUAGUGUAGGUUAGAUAGGAUUUAUUUUCACAUUUUCUAUUUUUGGACUGGACACUAUAUUUUUGAUUCGUUUUGUUUUGUUUGUUUGUUUGAUUGUUACGUGUUUUGUAUGGUUUGUACAUUUGUAAUGUCAAAAUUAGCCGAUAUGCUCCACCAAGCGAUCGUGGUCGAACCACGGGAUCGAGGGGUGCCUAACACCUUCCCCUCGGUCAACAGAAUUCCUUAGCCAGAAUCUCUGUACUCAAACCAGUCUUAAAGAGUCAAAUUAUUUUGAAAAGGAUUUUUCAAAGGUAACUUUGCACACCGGAUUAUGUCAAGUGGCGACUCUGAGUUUUGAAUGUAAAAAUAAUCUUUUUUCGGAACAAAUCUUUAUUUUGUCACUUUAAUAAUAAAAACCCUUUCAAACCUUAAAACAAAUCUUUUCGGAUAUAUAAAAGGGGUGUGAAAGCUCUAGCAACUCUGCUGGGGAGGUUUUCAGAAUUCGAGCUUAUUUUGGAGUCGUAUCGACUUUGUUUGACAUUACGAGUGUAUAAGAGUUGUUUGUGAUUAUUGUUUGUGUUAUUGCUAUCACUUUUGUGCAUUUUCGUGCUCUUUGUGGACAGUAUUUAUCCUUUGUGUUACCGCUUUUAUAUCUAGCAUCAUGUGCAUAACCUGAGUCAUUCUUUCUGCAAUAAGUCUGUAGUACACAUGUUGUACACAACCUCUAGUUGAGUCACCCUUUUCUUAGGGGGAGAGCCGUCGGUGUUAUGGAGUAGGUGGAAAGCAAAACAGCCACUAUCGACCAUACGUUCUCCCAAAUAGCCUUGUUAGUGAACCCCAACAUAGGUCAGCCUUUAGGUCAUGCUUAUGUGCAUCAUAUUGAAGACCUAGCGGGGCCCACUAGGUCCUUCGUAAGAUACUCACCUCUAAAUCAUAUCUACGUGCUAAAUGUUGCAUCUCUGAGGGUAACGGGGUCAUUUGACGAACUGAUUUGAGGGAAAACAUGUGUUAGAGAUAAAAUGUGUAGACAAAAAAUGAAUGGUUAAAGAAGAGAAGAGAAGAAAGAAAAAGAAAAAUGGUGAAUCAAAAAGAGUGUCGUAGUUUAUUUUAGAGUUCUUUAUGGCUUUUGUUCUUCACAAUCCAAAAACUCAAAAGUUUUUUUUACCUUUUGCAUUUAUUUUCUCAAAGUACCGUAAAUUCAACAAAAAAAAAAAGAUUUUGUUUACCUUUUCUACUUAUUUGUCAAAAACAAAAGCACAAAAAGAUUUUCCUUUUGUUUUUUUUAGUAAGCAUUCAUAAUUCAAAAUUUUCAAAAAAGAUUUUUAUAUAGUAGUAGGUUUUUAUGAAAGAAAAUGCAAAAAAGAGAUGACAGAAAUUUGUACAUUUCCUAUAAUGAAAAUACCAAAAGGAUUUUUUCUUCAUAAUUAUUGGUGUCAAUCUUAGUUGAAAUGUCUAAUUAAAAACCCCAUAUGAUUUUAUUCGUUUGUCUUUGAUUGUAUCUCUUAAGUUAAAGUCAAUCUGUUAGUUAAUCGUUAAUAGUCCAGUCUGGACGAACUACGCACCCCUGAUUCUCCUCUCUCGGGAGUGAAAUACGUAGGCAACCUAUUGUUGGUUCAGGGAUCUUAUUUGAAAAAUUGAAAAAAAAAAGAGAUUUUCUUCACUCUUUAUUAGAGUAGAUGUUUCAUAUACAUCUUUAAAAGAAAACUACAAAAAAGAUUUUUCCUUUAAUAGGUUCAAGUUUCAUUUUUCAUAUGAAAUUCAAAAUCAAAAACCCAAAAGGAUUUUUCUUUGGUAAUCAUAGGUUUCAUUUUGUAUAGGGAGUUUAAACUUGAAAAAUGCAAAAGAAAUUUCGUCAAUUCUUUUGACAAUUUCUUAUUUCGUUUUCUUUUUAAAGUUUCAAGAAAAAAGAAAAAAGAAAGGAAAAAUAAUUAAUUGACCAUUUUGGCAAGACUUCACGAACUACGCACACCUGAUUCUCCUCUCUCGGGAGUGAGAUACGUAGGCGCCAGUCUUGGGUUCAGUGACCUUUUCAAAAAGAAAAAAAGAUUUUGAAAAAAAAGUGUUGAAUUCUAACGCAUUUGCUAUCUCUUGUUUAGUUAGUUUAAGGUGGUUGGUUUGUGGCAUUUUGGCUGGUCCUCCAUAUUGCACCAAGUCACAGAGAAAUUUAUGGCCAACAAGGAUAUCGAGUUUGUUGUCACUAAUCAGAUAGGGAGUUCGGUAAAUGAGAAUUUAGGAGAUAAUGAAGAGAUUCGGAAAUUAAGGCAUCAAAUGAUAGAAAUGCAUCGAGCUUGGGCUAAUGGGUUGCCGCCUCCUCCAGUUCCCACUGAUAAUCUGGAAUAUCUUUCUAGCUUGCCUCCCGUGUCAUAUGCAUAAUUUUCUAUUUUUGUUGAUAUGCCACAAUAUGCAUCAGGAUCGACUCCGGGGCAACAAUAUCCAACCACUUCUAAUGUUCAUUUUCUGACUCCCCAAUCCAAGACGACCACAUACUCGGCUCCACCUGCUGUUCAUGCUUUUGCGGUUUUGAUGUUCAUCCACAAGUUGUGCCUCCCCACUCUACAAGAGAGCCUGCAUUGAAUAUUACUGGUGAUCAGCGUUACAUUUCCGAUCCUACAUUCAAGUUGACUGGUCUUUACGGUGACACUCACCCGCCUGAAUUUCCUCCUAACACCGAGAAGCCUAUUAUGACAGAAGAACAAGACAAAAUAACCAGAAAAUUGAGAAGUUUGGAACUGGCUAUGAAGAACUUGCAAGGACUUGGGGGUUACAAAAGUGUCUCAUAUAAGGACUUAUGCAUGUUUCCACGUUUCAACCUUCCUCCUAGAUUUAAAAUGCCAAAGUUUGAGAAAUAUGACGGACAUGGGGACCCACUGGCACAUUUGAGGUGCUAUUGUAACCAAUUAAGAGGCGCUGGAGGGAAGGAAGAACUACUUAUGGCUUCUUUUGGGGAGAGUCUUUCAGUCCUAGCUUCGGAAUGAUUUGUUGACCAAAACAUCGACAAAUGGAUUAGUUAGGAUGACCUAGCUAAUGAAUUUGUGCAACAAUUUCAAUACAAUGUGGAGUUGAUCCCUGAUGAAAAAUCCCUAAAUAGUAUGAAGAAGAAGAAUAUUGAGAGCUUCAGGGAGUAUGCGAUCAGAUGGCUCGAACAAGCUGCUAGAGUGAAACCGCUAAUGAAAGAAAGAUUUAUAGUGAGGGUGUUUAUUCAAGCGCAGGAUGAAACAUAUUAUUAACACUUGUUACCUGUAUUUGGCAAGUUAUUUAUUGAGGUCCUUAAAAUAGGGGAGAUGAUAGAAGAAUGAAUUAAGAUGGGUCGCAUUGUGAGUUUUGCAACAUUAAAAGCGACUACUCAAGCAAUUCAAAAGGGUUCAGGAAGUGUUGGGGAGACAAAGAAUGAGUAAGAUGCAUCCGCUAUUGUAGUAGGACAACGGGAAUGGUCAAGAAUACUCCGUCGUCAUCACUCUCAAGCUCAAACCCAAGUUCAUACCCAAACUCCACAUAGUCACUCCCAAAAUCCAUUAUACUCUGAUCCUCCACCUCCAUAUCCAGUAUAUAACGCACAACCAUAUGUUCAACCCCUAUCUUACCCACAAUGGAACACACCAACUCUUCAGAGCCGUCCUCUAACCCCACAAACAUACCAAAACCCUUCUAAGCCUGAUUUUCGAUCCAAGCCAAAUGAUGAAACGAGGCAGAAGUCGAGAGAUAACUUCACACCAAUUGGAGAGUCGUAUGCCAGUUUAUUUCAUAGAUUAGUACAAUAGGGCAUGAUCACUCCUCUCCUUGGGUGCAAUUUUAAUCGGUGUUUAAGAAAUUUUGAUCCUAAUAUGCGAUGUGCGUAUCAUUCUGAUGCUUAGGGUUAUAGUAUUGAAGAUUGUUGAGAUUUGAAAAGAGAAAUUGAAAAGAUGAUUUAAGAUGGAUCAAUUAUGGUGCAGAACAUUGACAGUGAGGGAAGCUCUAGUCAUGUUGAUAGACAAACCAGUGGUUAAGUUGUCAGGCUGAGCAAUUGAGAAGUCACCCCCCUCCCUACUAGGAAGAGGUCUGGUAGUUUGUUUUGUUUUAUUUUCUGUUAUUUGAAUUAUUUCAGGGUUGUAGUUCGGGAUCUAUCUUGUUUUGUCCCUUUUUCGUUAUGUUCAAACUCUUCUAUCUUUCAUUUUUAUUAAAUGAAGUGUCCCAUUUUUCUUUGUGUUUUAAAUAUGUGUCGUUUGUUUGUUUUCUUUGCAUAGUAUAUUUUAUGUUGACUCUAGUGAUAUGACAUGCUAGUGAAAUUUACAGCCAAAUCUUAAAAUCUAGUUUAAGCAUGAACAUUGAAUCAGAGGGUUAAAGUUAGAAAAAGAGAGCAUCUGAGAAAAUAGGUAGAGUGCUGAGACAUUUGGUGACAAGUUCAAGCCUUCUUUGAAAAUUAAGGCAAUUAUUUUAAGAAUCACAAGAAUAACUUGGUCAUCAAUUGAAAAACAUUGCUCAAUUAGGUCAAAUAGCGGAUGUGUGAUCCCGAGAAAUAGAAAAAUCAACUCCACAAAAGCAUGAGUCAUUCGAUGUGAGGAAUGUACAACAAAAGUGGAGUGAUAUAUUGAACAAAGUGCAAGAGUAGUGACGCACAAACUCAGUUAAAGUUAUUGCUUAAAAAAGGUCACAAAUGAUCUUCAUCUCUCACUUUCAUAUUGCAUGAUAUGUACUUGAAUUUUUCAAGGAUUGACAUAACGAAGGCAUUUCAUUCUGCUAUCCAAAAAUCAUGUCAUCCUUUGUUUACCCCAUUUGAUCCUUAGUUCUAUUUUCUUUCGUACCCUUCUUUUGGAAUCAGGAUAGAGUCUGCAACGUCCAAGAAAAGUGUCUAAAAAAAGGGUCAGAAAAGUUUCAAAAAAGAGACAAAAUGUGUCCAAAAAGAAAGAAAAGAAGAGUGUCAAGAAAAUGGAGUCAGAAAAUGAAUCCCGAAGAGAAAAGAGACAAUAAAAUAAAAAAGAAAGAAAAGUCAGAUCAAAAGAAAGAACAAGUUGUCAGAACUACACGUGACCUGAUUCUCCUCUCUCGGGGGUGAGAUACGUAGGUGCCCUACUCUGGGCUCGGUCCAACCAAAUAAAUAAUUUAGAAUUGCCCAGUCAAAAAACACUAGGGCAUGAGUUAGUCUUCAUUGUUUGAGUCGAUUCCAAAAGUUGUAAAUUCCACCCCACUUCAAGUGUCGUUUGGGCCUCAUGUCAUCCUUUCUUUCUAAUCCUUUCCAAAAGCCAAGUUACAACCAAAGAAAGACCUUCAGAUCAAUCUUUGAUGUUAAGGAUAAGCAUGCAAGGGAUAUGAUGAUGCAUUUGGGAACUACUUGUCUUCCUCAGCAUAAGGAAUCAAGAGAGAAAUAAAAAUGAGAGAGGCUUAUUAGUGAAAACCCUUACGGGCAUCAUAAGAUGAUGGUAAGUUGAGAGAGAUAAAAAUGAGAGUCUUAUCAGUAAAAACCCUCGCGGGCACUGUAAGACGACUGCGAGUUGAGAGAAAUGAAAAUAAGAGUCUCAUUGGUGAAAAACCCUCACGAACACCGUAAGGCAAUGGUGAGCUGAAAAAAAAAGGAUUUUUGGCAAAAACCAUUCAAGGUGUCACUAGCCGAAUGAGGUCUUAAAGGCAAUUGACCUAAGAAAACAACUCAGUUUCAGGGUCGUUAACUCAAGAACAAUUGGUAGAAAGUUUGGAUGAAAAGAUCAGGCAACUUAAUCCAAAAUGCAUGGCAUAAUCAUUAGAGUUGACUGUCAUUUUUAGAUAAAUUGUUACUUCUUUGUUUCAAAUGGGGACAUUCAUUGUCUUUUUAUUCUUUUUUAUUUUUAUUUUCUUGAGUCAGUUAUCCAAAUAAAAAUCAUUGUCAUUAUUUUUCUCUUUUCUUUGAGUCUAGUCCAUGUCAAAACAAGUGAGAAAAGAUUUCAAAACUGGCUACCAGCUUCUUUAAUUGUACAAAGCAAGACAAACGGCUAGCACAUGAAAGAAACAAGAUUACAAGUCAGAACAAGGGGUGCAGAAGGUUGUUGUUAAUUGAAAAUCUAGGAAAUUCGAGGAAAUACCAAGGUUUAAAGGGAUUGUCUGAGAAACACUGCAAAACAGAGAUACUGUGUUUGUUUCAGAGUCACUCAUAAUCAUUUGAGUUUGAAUCAAUGAAGCAACAAGUCAAUGACACAUGCUAAGGGUUGAAAUCAAGAUCAAAUGUGACCAGUGCAAGAGCGAUCAUCGCGAAAGCUAAAGCCGCAAACCAGCCACCACAUUUUAUACUCACAAGUUUUCUUUGAUGAAACAAAAAACAUAUUACCUUCAAAGCAGGGACUGCAGAGCAUAAAUAUCAAGGGCUGCAAUGCCUCACUUUUAAAAAUGCAGGAAGCAAUGUUUCUGCACAGGUUUGAUAAUCAAAUCAUGGUAAAAAAUUAUCAUCUUAUAUCCUUCAGAGACACACUUUCUUGUCCAGGGAUUUCAGUUUUCAUUUGCUAGGUGAUACACUUCUUAAAUUGAACCUUCACUCCUAGGAGACGUAUCUUCUAGUCGAUUCAUUCUAUUUGACUCUUAGAAGACGUAGCUUUUAGUCGAGUCAUUCCCCUUGACCCCUAGAAGACGUACCUUUUAGUCGGGUCGUUCCUUUGAUUCCUAUAAGAUGUAACUUUUAGUCUAAUGAUUCCCCUUGAACCCUAGAAGACGUAACUUUUGGUUAAGUCGUUCCUUUAAUUCCUAGAAGACAUACCUUUUAGUUGAGUCAUUUCUUUGAUUCCUAUAAGACGUACCUUUUAGUCGAGUCAUUCCCCUUGACCCCUAGAAGACUUACCUUUUGGUCGAGUCGUUCCUUUGAUUCCUAGAAGACGUACCUUUUAGUUAAGUCGUUCCUUUGAUUACUAGAAGACGUACCUUUUAGUCGAGUCGUUCUUUUGAUUUCUAUAAGACGUACCUUUUAGUCGAGUCAUUCCCCUUGAACCCUAGAAGAUGUACCUUUUAGUUGAGUCGUUCCUUUGAUUCCUAGAAGAUGUACCUUUUAGUCGAGUCGUUCCUUUGAUUCCUAUAAGACGUACCUUUUAGUCGAGUCAUUCCCUUUGAUUCCUAUAAGACGUACCUUUUAGUCGAGUCAUACUCCUUGAUUCCUAUAAGACGUACCUUUUAGUCGAAUCAUACCCCUUGAUUCCUAUAAGGUGUACCUUUUAGUCGAAUCAUCCCCCUUGGUUCCUAUAAGACGUACCUUUUAGUCGAGUCAUCCCUUGGAUUCCCAUAAGACGUACCUUUUAGUCGAGUCAUCCCUUGGAUUUCUAUAAGACGUACCUUUUACUAAAGUCAUUCCUUAUGAUUCCUAUAAGACGUACCUAUUAGUCGAGUCAUUCCCUUUGAUUCUUAUAAGACGUACCUUUUAGUCGAGUCAUUCGCUUUGAUUCCUAUAAUGAUGUGACUUUCACAAAAGUCCUUUGAUGGUAAACUGGGGCAAAAUUUAAUUCUUGUGUUUGGAACUUCGCUUUUAUGGCAAAUGAAACCUCAUUAUAAUAAUCUUUGGUUGGGAUAAUUUUCUUUUUAGUUUUAAUGUGAUUUCAGGAGCCCUCCUGGAGAACAGGGUAAAGAAAUGAAAAGUUAAGCAACAAAGUGAAGAAGUUGAAAGUCAAGCAACUAGGUGAAAAGUUGAAAGUUAACAGAUUGAAAAAUAGCAAGUCAGGAGCCCGCCUGAAGAAUAGGGUGAUGAAAUGGCAAGUCAGAAGCCUGCCCGAAGCACAGGGAGAAUAAAUGUAAAGUUAAGCAACAAGGUGAAGAAAUUGAAGACCAAGAAACAAGUAAUGAAAUUGCAAGUCAGGAGCCCGCCUGAAGAAUAGGGUGAUGAAAUGGCAAGUCAGAAGCCUGCCCGAAGCACAGGGAGAAUAAAUGUAAAGUUAAGCAACAAGGUGAAGAAAUUGAAGACCAAGAAACAAGUAAUGAAAUUGCAAGUCAGGAGCCCGCCUGAAGAAUAGGGUGAUGAAAAUUAAGCCAAGAGUCCAAAAGAAGCUGCAUAGAUAGGAUUUUUGUAAUUUCAGUUAGAUGUCAACUUGUAAUUUCAUUUCUGAUGUAAUAACAGAGCUGCGGACCGAAACCUCGAGGGGAACUCAAUCGACUCUCCCACUCGGUAUAGUCCAUCGCCUUCCCAAUCCUUUGAGAUACCUGUCGCUUGAUUCCCUCAUAAUGUGGGUAGGUGGGAUGUCCUAAGUUAAGACUCGGUUGUCCUAUUUCCUUCUGAUUCUUCCUUUGAAUAAUGAUUGGGAAAAAAAUUCUAUCUCGUUGUCUACUUCUUUUUAUGAAAACACUAGGUGUUUACAUUCAAAGGGGGCAUGAUGUAGACAUGUAAUUUUAUCCCGUCAAAACAUUUCUUAUUCCGUUAUCACACAGUUUAACCCCCAUUUUUAUAAUUUUCCACAAGAAAAAAACAAAUAAAAUAACCACUUUAUUUUAUUUAUUUAUUUAAAUAACAAAUCCUAACAAAUUUUGUCUUCUUUUAAAACCUCCCAACAACUUCUCCAAUAAAAAGACAACACCUCACCUAACUACCCUUCCCAUCCCUAUACCCGUACACCUCACCUAUUUCUUUCUUUACAAGUUUUAUUUCUUGGAAAAAAAGAAUAAGAGUAGGAAAAUUCUAUUAGGAUGGGACCCACGGAUUUGGAUACAUUCUUCACAUAUAUACACCUAAUCAUCAUCUUCAUUGGGAGGAGAGGGAGAGAGAGAAAAGAACGGGGGAGGGGGGGUCAUCAUCUUUAUUGGAGAGACGCCACUUUGAAGAGGGGCUCUCCAUUUUUAUUUUCCUUUUGCUCUUUACCUUCAUACAGAGUAAAAUCCACCACUUCCUCACUGAAUGCACACACACGCACAUCUCUCAUUUAUCUAAGAAAACACACAUCUACAUACGAAUUAACACACACAUACAGAAAAGGUAUAUAUAGAGAGAGAGAUGGUGAGAAGAGUCUAGAUCGGGAGAGAGCAACGAAGAGAGAAAAUAGGCAACGUUGCGACACGAAUAGUACAGCCGCGGGCGUCGGCGUCUCACCUGAGACACGAUUUUCGCGUUUGAAACACUGUUCCGGUGACGCUCAAUUGGAACUGAGUUUUCUGGCUAGCUCUUUGCUUGAAUCGAUUACUUGUUGGUCGCAUUCAAGUACUGCAGACCCAAAUUUUGUCUGGGUUCAUUGAUUUUCAUACUGAUUUUUGGGAUUUAGCUUCUGUCCCGAUCGGCUCGUCCUUCUUUAUCUUUGGGUUUCAAAUUUCCCAAUACCGUGUUUGGUUCGUCGCUAUCGAGGUAUUCUUCUUGGGGUUUCAAGUCCGGGUGUUCUUAAACUUUAUUAUCAACGAAACUUUCUUCAAAGGUCCAUCUCUUAACUCUACUUUUUAAUUAUCUCGUAUGUGGCUAUGUCAUGAUUUUUUAUGUAGUUUUGAAUAUUGUCUGUAGCAUUAACCGUUGUUGUGGGUAUGAAUGAUUAUGUGCUUAAUACGCUUGAAUUGUCGUUGGGCGAAUGUAUGGAUGUUGGUUUUGGGACUGUGAAGGGUGAUUUGAACUGAGGAAUUUGUUAAUCAUUGAUUGUUUAAAGGAAUACAGUUGAGGGGUGGAAUUAAGAAAUUAAUAAAAAGUUGAACGUAGAUUAAUUUUGGAUUUGUUGUCGAUUUGCUCGGAAUACGCAUGAAUAUUGUUGAUACAUAUAGGCAAAUGUCAGUUUGGGUAGGCAAAACUUAGGAGUGAUGUGUUUAUUAAAUUUUUUGAAUGUUUAAUGUGCGUGUGAAUCUUUGUUUCUAGCUUAUCGUAUUUAAUUCAAAUGUAUUUAUUUAGCCGGGGAAUGCCCCGAGACACAUUGUAUUUAUUCACCGGGGAAUGUCCUGACGUACUAUGUUGGCAGAAGAUGUUCAUGAGGAAGGCUCGAGGCAUCGGGUAAAGCAUGGGAGCGUAGUUGAGAUUAGUGUAGGUUAGAUAGGAUUUAUUUUCGCAUUUUUCUAUUUUUGGACUGGACACUAUAUUUUUUAUCCGUUUUGUUUUGUUUGUUUGUUUGAUUGUUACAUGUUUUAUAUGGUUUGUACAUUUGUAGUGCCAAAAUUAGCCGAUAUGCUCCACCAAGAGAUCGUGCUCGAACCACGGGAUCGAGGGGUGCCUAACACCUUCCCCUCGGUCAACAGAAUUUCUUAGCCGAAAUCUCUGUACUCAAAUCAGUCUUAAAGAGUCAAAUUGUUUUGAAAAGGAUUUUUCAAAGGUGACUUGGCACACCAGAUUAUGCCAAGUGGCGACUCUGAGUUUUGAAUGUAAAAAUAAUCUUUUUUUUCGGAACAAAUCUUCAUUUUGUCACUUUAAUAAUAAAAAUUCUUUCGAACCUUAAAACAAAUCUUUUCGGAGAUAAAAAGAGGUGUGACAUACAUGUGAUAUUUCAUAUAAAAACUAUGUUGUUGUUUGUUUUUUCAUGAGCAUCAUGUCAUUUGUAAGGUAUACUACCUACUAGAAUAAGUACGUAUGUUGUUCUGUAUUGUAUGAAUGUUGAUGUUGAGUGUCUUAAAGAUUGUUGGGUUUGUUGCAAAUGUAAUGGAGUUACUUGCAAUUAAUCGAUCAUUCAUCGUUGUAAUUUCAUAUCUCUUACGUACUUAGAGAAUGAAAUGAACGAAUGUACGUUUGAUAUUUAAUAUAAAAACUAUGUUGUUGUUUGUUUUUUCAUGAGCAUCAUGUCACUUGUAAGAUAUACUACAUACUAGAACAAGUGACUAAGUUAUCUCGUUGAAUAAGUAUGUACGUACAUAUGUAUUGUGUGUUUGCGUAUGCUCUGUAUUGCAUGAAUGUUGAUGUUGAUUGUCUUAAAGAUUGUUGGGUUUGUUGCAAAUGUAAUGGAGUUGCUUGCAGCAAUUAAUCGAUCGAUCAACAUCAUAAUUUCAUAUCUCUUACUUAGAGAAUGAAAUAAACAUACGUACGUGUGAUAUUUCAUAUUAAAAUUAUGUUGUUGUUUGAUUUUUCACGAGCAUCAUGUCACUUCUAAGGCAUACUAUCUAUACUAGAAUAAGUAACUAAGUCAUCCCAUUGAAUAAGUAUGUACGUACAGAUGUAUAAUGUAUUUUUUGUGUGUGUAUGCUCUGUAUUGUAUGAAUGUUGAUGUUGAGUGUCUUAAAGAUUGUUGGGUUUGUUGCAAAUGUAAUGGAGUUGCUUGCGGCCAUUAAUCGAUCGGUCAACGUCAUAUCUCUUACUUAGAGAAUGAAAUGAACGUACGUACAUAUCAUGUGAUAUUUCAUAUUAAAACUAUGCUGUUGUUUGGUUUUUCAUGAACAUCAUGUCGUUUUUGUAAGGUGUACUACCUACUAGAAUAAGUGACUAAGUUAUCCCAUUGAAUAAGUACGUACGUACGUACGUAUGUAUUGCGUGUGUUAUUUUGUAUUGUAUGAAUGUUGAUGUUGAGUGUCUUAAAAGAUUGCUGGAUUUGUUGCAAAUGUAACGGAGUUACUUGCAAUUAAUCGAUCGAUCAUCAUAAUUUCAUCUCUUACUAAUUACAGAAUGAAAUGAAGGUACGUACGUGUAAUAUUUCAUAUUAAAACUAUGUUGUUAUUUGUUUUUUCAUGACCAUCGUGUAACUUGUAAGAUAUGCCACGUACUAGAAUAAGUGACUAAGUUAUCCUGUUGAAUAAUUAAUAUGUACGUAUAUAUGUAUGUGUGUAUGUAUGUUCGAUAUUGUAUGAAUGUAAUUAUGCUGAUCAUUUUAAGUCAAAAUAAUUAAAUUUGUUAAAUUCGAUCAAACUAAAAGCAAAUGUAAUUAAAUAUUUUUGGAUGUAAAAAUGGUUGAAAUAAUUAGAAGAAAGUAAAAUUCAAAAGUGACAUAAGCAUUAGGGUUCCACAGUAUGGGAAUAGGCUAAUUAUAUAUAUGAAGUUUCUUGGAAGUUUCUUAUGUCCAUGCAAAUAAACUUGAAUUGUUUAUUUUAUUUUGGAUUUUAAAACAUAAAUUAUUAAAUUAAAAAUAAAAUAGAAUUACAAUGUAGUGAAAAAUAUAGAGUUAAAGAGUAAAAAAAACACCUUAAUUAUUUCAGUUUUUUAAGUUUCAUUUCUGACCUAUUGUGAGUGUAAGUUUUCUACAUGUACUAUCACCCAAUCAAGAACGGCCCUAGGUUCAAAUUAGUGGUCUCCGGUAUCCAUUAAGCUCGACCUAGAAUGGGUAUAAAUUAUAAUUAUAUAAAAAGUGUAUAAAAAUUUAUAUAAAAUGAAAAAACACCCUCGGAACCAAAAAGAUAGUUGAGUGCUUUGGUUUUCAUGCGGAAUUUUAAAACUUUGGAUGUCAAUACAUGUGUUCCAACCUCCCGAGUAUCCACGACGCCUAAAUCCUGGGUCUACUGCACUCUGCACCCAAUGGUUAGCAAAGCACACCUACAGGUUGACUAGAGCGAAUGUUUGUCUACAAACACUUCUAGGCGCGUUUAGCCAUAAAAUCUUCGUCCACCUAACAUAUAUUAACGACUCAUUAAUAUAUAUAUAUGUAUGUAUGUAUGUAUGUAUGUAUGUAUGUGUGUGUGUAGAAAGGGCUAUAAAUAAGAGCCUUUACUUGGAAAAAUUCAAAUUCAACAAUCCCCUCUAUAUCUCAAGGCAAACUAUGGCUGGAAAACAUACUAAUUUCCUUUUUGCUGCUCUUCUCGUGGUCAUUACUAGUUAAUAUAUAUUUUCAUUUCAGUUUUUCACUUUUGUAUUUCGUAUCGUACCAUAGUUCUUCUGUCUCAAUUUAUGUGACGAUUAAUUAAUAACUUGAUUUUCUUCGAUUUAAUUUGUAUGCAGUACUACUCACCUCUCCAACUAUGCAAGUGAUGGCAUUGCGAAGCUUACCAGAAAAUGUGGAUGAUGUUGCAGUAAAUUUAUUGAUUCCAAACAUCCAAUUUACUUGUAAGAGUUCUUGCAGGAAUGAUGAUGAUUGUUCUGAAUGUUGGAUUUGUUGUAAAUGUGGAAGAGGCACUUGUAGAAUGGACACUAAAUUCAUAUGAUCUCUUAGCUAGAGAUCGAAUGUACGUACGUAUUGUUGAAUAAAAAUGUACCACAUCAGUAAGGGAUGAAAUCUCUCUGGAGUAUUCGUUAUACGCGUUGGCGUUUUGUGAUCUAUCGUAUGUAUGUAUGUAUUUAUGUAUGUUCAGUAUUGUAUGAAUGUAUUUGUGUAUUAGUCCUCCUCCUUUAUCUUGGACCGAUCAAAACUUACAGUUACAUGGAGUAUCACUAUGAAAUGACAAUCAUGACAAUCUAAAUUAGUCGAGCUCCACUGAUAGUAGCAGUAUCACUAUGAAAUGACUCAUGCAGUGCAUAAAUCUAAAUUAGUCGAGCUCCACUAUGAGUAUCGGAUAGUAGCAGUAUCGCUAUGAAAUGACCCAUGCAAUGCAUGAAUCUAAAUUAGUCGAGCUCCACUGUGAGUAUCGAACACCAGGUAGGGAAUAAAAAAAAGUAAGGGAAGGUAAAAGGCAUAUAUGUAAAGCUGUUUAUGAAACAAAAGGAAGAGAAAAUCAGUCAGAACAUUUCAUUCACCAAGAAUAGUUCUAAUUUGCUCAGAAGGAUAUUUAUCAUAUUUUUAUUUGUACAUACAAAGCCAGCCAUAUAAUGAUCUCAAAACAACAAUAUAGUUUACAAACCAUUGUUCAGUAUAGGACUGAAAAUUUCAAGUGCCUUCAAUGACAAACUUCACAUACUCAAAGGGUAAGAUGUUGUACCUUUCUUGUGUUACUAGCAACUCCUUGAUUUGAUUUUCUCUCAUCUUGCUCGUCGUACGAGUUCCCUCUGUAACUAGAGCUAGCUUCUUCGUUAUCCGAGCAGCCUGGUCUUUCCGUUAGGAAUUGUUCCCAGAACACAUCGUUCACGCGAACUGGAGCAGCUGCUGCAUGGCCUUGCUUGUUGCCGGUUGCAUCGUGUGAAGGUGGCAAAGGUUUGUCAUUGGUAGGAGGGGUUUUGUCAUUGGCAUCAGACUGUGAUUCAGAAUGUUUACCUAUCUCUUGACCGAUUUGAGGCAUCCUCUCUGAAUAUUGAUUUUUAUCGACUUGUGAAAGGCAUGAAGCCAAAGAAAGAUUCAGUUGGCAGGAAAUGUGACCGUCAACUUCCUCGUUGGAUGUCAGGCUUUGUGGCAAGGAAUGCAGUCUCGAGUGUUCAACGUUGCUUGAAGUACGCGGCAAAGAUGAAUCUAUCUUUAAUGUAAAUGACGUCCCUGUAUCUGAUAGUUCUAUUGCUUCAGGGGUAUACAGUACUCCACCCGUUCGAAGUUGUACUUCUCUGGACCAUCCUUCAGAUAUUCUCCUAUGUGGGCUUCCGCCAUCUUCGUUCGAACUUUGGGUGCUGCAUGAAAGAACAUUGAUAUCUGAAACAGCAGGUGACAAUUCAAGCGUGAGCUUAUUUGAGAAGUCUUGAUGGCAAAGGUUCCCAAACUCGACUCUAGAACUGCUAUGGUUGUCCACCGACAUACUUUCUUGAACUGGUUGAGUGCUGUCAAUUUGAGGCAAUCGCCUCUUCUUACUAAAUGCAGAGAUAUCCAUGGAUUCGAGUUUCUGAGCAAGACGCUCAACAAAGUCCGGAUUUUGAAUUGCCUUCUCGACAAAUGUCAGUAAACUCUCCUGCCUUUGCUCUAUACUGCCAACCCGCCCAGUUAGUUCUUCUAGUUGAAGUUUUGCAGCAGAUUGUUGCUGUCUGAACCUUACGACAUUAGCCUCGAGCCCAGACUUCUCACGUGAAAGCUUAUCAAUCUCUUCCUCAAAUGCAGCUCUUUCUGGAUCAACUGCGGAACCUGGAGGGUGACUAUGGCUGUGAAUGGGUUUUCUACGAUGAAUGUUCUUAAGUAAAUGCUUCUGGUCUUUCAGAAAAUCCUCAUUGGCAAAUUCCCAUCUUUCUGGAUCAAUCUUCCGGAAGCCCUGUCAAUUAGAUAUAUUUAUUAUGAGACCAAGCACAAAACGAUCCAAAUAGUAGCAAAAUUGAUAGCGAGGAUUAGUAAAGUCAACCCAGCUAGCUCAAUAACUGGUGUUCCACAAUUGAACUAGUUGAAACUUGAAAGAAGCGGCCGAAUAACUCAAAACUAGAUUUCUUUAUAUUCGCGAAAUGAGAUUUAUCACCAACCGUACAGUGGAAGUACAUCGGUACAUCUCCUUGAACAAGUGAUAGGUGCAAUUAGAAUCUAUCAACAUUGGAUAGUGUAUCCCUAUUUAAUGAAAACGUAUCAUCAAUCUAGUUCACAAGCAGCAAAAAUCAGGAGAUAAAAUCUAAUCAUUUAUUUUAACCUCUUUAACAACAAUUUAUCGUUGUGUCUCAUUUAUUGCAAUAUAAACACCGUUCGUAUCGGGUACAAACCAUGCUGAGUUUUACAACCAACUCGGAAUAAAUAUGACAACUGGAACUUCAAUAAAUAUACCCUUAAUCAUUAGGGAACCGAGGCGUUUCACAGAUCACAAGGAAUAACAAAUAAACAUAAGCUGCAACGACUACACUUUAUAUACAGGAGUUACUUAGAAAAAAAAAAAAGACAGCCCGGUGCACUAAAGCUACCGCUAUGCGCGGUGUCCGGGGAAGGGCCCUACCACAAGAGUUACUUAGCAUUGUAUAAAUCUGAAAAAAACUGCACAUUAACUUAAGCGAAUUAAUGAGGUUCCAUCAGAUAUCAUGCAAAUUCUAACUAUGCUUUGAAAACAGAAAUGAACGUCUGCGCAAAUGCUUUUACUAAAAUUGUUUUGUACAUUUCAAUAUUUCAUUGAUCAGUUGUAUGUACUUCAAUAUCUAUCACGUCACCCAGGAAGGUGUUUUUUUCCCCGCAUAAAUGAUCAGUCAAUGCCUUGUACAAAGUCAUUUAUUAAAUCAUCAGUCCGUGACUGGUAUGAUGUGACAUGCAGAGAUUUCAUCCCCGUUGUGUGUAGAGAAUGAUGCCAACAUCUUCUUGUACAAACUAUAGAUGCAACCAGGACACAGCUUUUCCAUUACAAAAGGUUUGUUUUCAAAAGAAUAAUGCUUUUGUGGAAGAAACACAUACUGGUUUUAGCUGACAUGUCGAGAGAAACGUUGAAUCACUGAUACAGAGUCGAGAAACACAUACGAAACAAGAGAAUAAUGUUUCCCUAGGAUUUUCGCUAGGGAUUCAUAGAUGAUUUCUUCCCAACUUUCCGCCAGUGUUAUUAUUCACAUGCUACAGCAAACAGCUGUUGGAUCAUAAUAACAAAAGCAUCUUCUUUCAAUGUCCAUGACGCUUUAGCCCUCAAACCCAUUCUUUAAUCUUUCUAAUUAACACUCUCACAGAUCCCAAUGCAUCUUCUCAGACAUAAACUGAUCGAAAACAGCUAGACGUGAUAUCUUUUGCUACCCAAUGGGCACUCAUACUACAUGGUUAUACUAUGUCCUGGAAAAUGUAAAACAGAUGAUGAAAUUCGCGCAAAAGAAUCAUCCCAGUCUCUUGUCGGUCCGUUAGGGAACAAACUACUCUAGAACCAGCAUUUAAAGUAAGUGACAAAGACCAUCAGAUCCACCCAACUACGAGUGUGCAUCAUAUGAUAAGCUAUGGUACUGCUGCUUUACUUUAUCUAUGUUUCAUUUAAAUUAAUAUACUCGUGUCAAAUGAAAGAUAGCAGUGGCAAGUGCACUAGCCUUUUGACGUUCACACUGUUUAUUGACAUGUCAUUAUAAGGUUAAACACAACGAAACACUAAAGGUCGUGCCGCAGGUACAUUCUGCUGGAGAAACAAUUUUAGAAACGGCUAAAUUCCUCAAAACCAUAUGCAUCACGGAAAGAUCUACUUAUAUUAACCUUAUGUCAACAAUUUCAAAGGUUAAAGAAUCCUUCUAAUACCUUUUUUCUGUGCGUAAGAAAAUUCGUUAGCACCAAGCAAGACUGGAAGCAUCCAUAUAUAUCAAGUGUAAAGCACACAACGAAAGUCCAUACACACAGAACAACCCCCAACGAGAAAAGAUAACCCCUUGACAUCAUCCCAUUUUGAUUUACUACUCGUCAGCAACUACUUCUUCAAAUCAACAACAAUUCUACUUCAUCUGCACCUGUUUCGGUCCAAUACUCAAAUAUGUUCCAAGGGAAUUCAAGCAGCAAACAUCGAAUUAUCACAUAGAAAAUUAAACAAAGAAACUCCGUGUUUGCUAGAUGCAAGAGGUCACCUAAAAUUCAUCGAUAAUUCAAUAAAGCACUAUAAGCAUAGAAAUAAGGAAAUACAACACCCAAUGGUGUGGUCUAGAGGUCAAUGAAGUGGGUUGAGAAUCAUGAGGUGUUGGGUUCAAAUCCCAUCAAAAGACAUAAAUACUAGGUGAUCUCUUUCCGUCUAUCCCAUCCUUGGUGAACAAAAUUACCUAAUACCUAUUGCUAGUGGGAGGUGACAGACAUCCCAUGAAAUUAGUUGAGGCGCACGAAAGCCGGCCUAAACACCACGGUUGUCAGAAAAAAAUGUGAAAACACAGCAAAUCAGGCCAGAAGAUGACAAACUAGACAAUUCAAUAUCAAGUAAACCCAUUUCGAAAGAUAGAAAAUCAAUUCAAUGAUCCAAUUCUUCCAUUGAACCCUUCAAUCUUACAGAACAAAAAUCAAUUCAACGAUCAAAUUCUUAAGAUAAACCCUUCAAUCCAAAGAUCCUAUUUCUCAGCUAAACCCAUUGAAACAGAAUGAAAAUCAAUUCAGUUUUUAAGCUAAACCCAUUUAGAAAGAUAGAAUAUCAUUUCAAUUCUUCAGCUGAACCCAUUUUGAGAGACGGAAAAUCAAUUCAAGAAUUCAAUCUUUAAGCCAAACCCAUUUCAACAAUUCAACUUUUAAGCUAAACCCAGUUCAACAAUUCAAUCUUUAAGCUAAACCCAUUUCAAGAAUCCAUUCUUUAAGCUAAACCCAAUUCAACAAUUCAAUCUUUAAGCUAAACCCAUUUCAACAAUUCAAUUUUUAAUCUAAACCCAAUUCAAAAAAUCAAUCUUUAAGCUAAACCCAAUUCUAAAAGUCAAUUUUUGAGCUAAACCCAUUUCAAAAAACAGAAAUUCAACUCAAUAAUUCAAUUUCUAAGCUAAACCCAUUUCAAGAAUUCAAUUUCUAGGCUAAACCCAUUUCAAAAAAUAGAAAAAAUCAAUCCAAAAAUUCAAUUUUAAGCUAAACCCAUUACAAGAAAAGUCAAAAUACAUACGUAGGUGUUGAGCUGUCGAAUGAAACUGGAGAAAUUGUUGUGUUUAAAAUACGUAGGAAGAAGAAUUCUUGCAAAUUCCGGUGGAUUCCACACGACAAAACUGUGUCCGGUCGGAGUCCAUGAUACGAUGUCGUCCGUUUGGGUAUCAUCCACCAUCUCAUAUGUCUUCAACAAAAACGGCGCCGGACCUCCGCCGCCACCGCCGCCGCCACCUGCCGCCGCCGCUGGAGAAAUUACGUCCAUUUGGAAAUGCGACGAUGAAGGGACGACGACGAUGUUUAUUGGAUUUAUUGAAGCCGUCCGAAUUUGACUUCAAAGUUUUGGAGUCCUUUUGACUCUUUGCUAAUACCCGGGUCGGGUCGGUUUGUUCGAAUUUCGGGUCGGCAGCAUUUUCUACUUUUCAUUUCAAGUUAUUUGUCAUGGGUUUCUUUUUAGUCUGUUUUAAAAAGAAUGAGUUUUUGCUAAGGUUUGGGUCGAUCGAAUCAGGUUGGUUUGUUUGGGUUUUGGGUCAAGUCGGAUCGGAUUGGUUCAGUAUCAUUUUCUACUUUCUGUUUUAAGUUGUUUGUAUUAGGUUUCUUUCUAGUCCGUUCUAAAAAGAAUGUUUACUUCUCCUAUCUCAAUUUAUGCGAUGUUGUCAGAUCGGAUCGAUUUGUUUCGGGUUGGAUUGGGUGGAUUCAGUGUCAUUUUCUACUUUCCGUUUCAAGUUGUUUGUCUUAGGUUUCUUUUUAGUCCGUUUUAAAAAGAAUGAGUUUUUGCUAAGACUUAGGUGGACCAAAUCAGGUCGGUUUGUUUGGGUUUCGGGUCAAGUCGGAUCGAGUUGGUUCAGUAUAAUUUUCUACUUUUUGUUUUAAGUUGUUUGUAUUAGGUUUCUUUCUAGUCCGUUCUAAAAAGAAUGUUUACUUCUCCUUUCUCAAUUUAUGUGAGGUUGUCAGAUCGGAUCGGUUUGUUUCGGGUCGGAUCGGGUGGAUUUAGUGUCAUUUUCUACUUUCCGUUUCAAGUUGUUUGUCUUAAGUUUCUUUUUAGUCUGUUUUAAAAAAAAUGCGUAUUACUUCUUAUGUCUCAAUUUAUGUGAUGUUACUUAACUUAGACUACAAAAUUUAAGAAAGGAAACAUACUCUUUUUGUUCCUUUUUAAUUGACAUGUUUCAUUUUUUUAGAGUCAGUUAACUGUAAUCAAAGAUUUGCAGUUCCUUUUGAGUCUUUGCUAAUGCCAGCUGGCCGGGUCGGUUUGUUUGGGUUUUGGGUUGGGUCGGGUCGGGUCGAGUCAGUUCAAUAUCAUUUUCUACUUUCCGUUUCAAGUUGUUUGUCUUAGGUUUCUUUUUAGUUCGUUUUAAAAAGAAUGUUUGUUACUUUUUCUAUCCCAAUUUAUGUGAUGGUAUUUGACUUGAUACGAAAUUAAAAAAAAGAAAGACAUACUCCCUUUGUUCCUUUUUAACUAUCAUGUUUCAUUUUUCGAGAGUUAACUAAUUAUCAAAGUUUUGCAGUCUCUAGUCUUUGCUAAGUCCCGGUUUACACGGGUUUCGGGUCAAUGUAGUUUGACAAAUUAAUAGUUUACGUAGAAUGUAUGUGUUUGCUCAUUCAACUUUAUCUAGGUUAAGUGUCUAUUUGUGCAUAUUUAAUGUUGGAGGACAUAAGGGUAAGUCAAAGUCAAGUUAAAGAGCAUGUUUAUCUAUUUUGUUUCCAAAUUCGACAUUCUCUAUGAUAAAUUUAAGACAAUAAAAAGUAACCUUUAACUAGGUGUCAACUCGUAUUUAUGUUCUCCAUAAAAAGUAAUCUCUCUACUUCAUUUGAAGUAGUGGUAUGGACUUCGUACACUUUACCCUUCGGCCUUCUCAGACUCCAUUUUUUGGGAAAUGCACCGGGUAUGUUGUUGUUAUUGUAACUAGGUGUCAGAUCGCAUUUAUACUUUCCAAUUUUGGUUUAGUACAAGUAGUCACUUAAACUUGUAUAAAGUUGAGUAAUUGGAUACAUGCGUCCUACGUUACAUCUACUUGGCAAUUCACGUGAGAUUGCCUGAUUUUUAGUCACACUCAAUCUUUAAGGGCAUAAUACAUAAUCGUGUCUUUUAACUUGGUGUCAACUGACAUCUACGCUCUCCAACUUUGGUUAUGCACAAAUAGACACUUAAAUUUGUAUAAAGUUGAACAAGCAGACUCACGUGUGUUACGUGGAAUCUACAUGGUAAUUCGCGUGAAGAUGUGCCACGAAGGAUAUGACCUCCGUGCUUUUUUUAAGGUUGAUUCGGAAGGUGGUAAAUAUCAACCCUCACCAACAGAGGCGGAGCUAGCCUAUGAAAGGGGGGUUCGGACGAACCCUCUUCAACGAAAAAUUAUAUUAUUAAUACAUGGUUAAAAUAAAUUUUAUUUAUAUAUUCUAGACGUUGAACCCUCUUCGAUGAAUUUUUCUUCAGAUUUUGAACCCCUAAGCAAAAAUCUUGGCUCCGCCUCUGCUCACCAACAUGAAGAAAGUUCGGAUAUAGCCUUCAUUCUUGUGACAUCCAUUGGAAGUACUUCUAGCAAAUACAUAUAUAAGUUUAUGGUGAUGCUUAUGCUCAACAACAACAUACUAGUGAAAUUCCACAAUUGAGAUUUGGGGAUACUAGUGAAAUUCCACAAUUGAGAUCUGGGGAUGAUAGAAUGCAGGCAGACUUGACCACUACCUCGUGAAGAUAGAGAAGUUGUUUUCGAAAAAAUCUCUAGACUGACCAUCAUUAAAAAAAAAAGAACUUGCAGUUUUUUAAUUGGUAUAAGGAUCACUAAUAUUGAUAUUAACUGAGGUACCAUAUAAGUACGUUUGAAUCUUUUAGAGAAGAUAAAUGCAUGUUUUCAUUGCCAUUUAGUUUUCUUUUUAAAUAUACAACUAUACUUUACAUAUUCCACAACACAUAGAACAUUUUAUUCAUAAUAUAUGGUUCUUAAUAUGAGAAAUUACAACCCAUAGAUAGUGGUUCACGUGAUUUUAUCAAAAUACUCAUAAACAUCAAAAUUAAAGUACCUAAAACAUUAAAUAUUUUUAGAAUGACACCUUAUUGAAAAGGAAAUGGACUCGUUAAAAAUAAUUAUUACAACAACAACAAUAAUAAUGACAUCGUAGUUAUGGUUGAUGAUCGCGAAAUUUCUUUAUCUUUCUCAUCAUCUAUUUCCAGGACCUCGAGGGCUCUUAUUCCCCGGAUCAACAAUUCCUUUUUCUGGAUGACCCCAAUCUCUCCCUAUCACUGAUAAUCAGAAUAAAAAAACAUUGUCAGUCAGAAACAUUCUUUCAGUUACAUGAUCUUUUUUCAUAGAAGUUUGACAAACAAAACGUAAAAAAGAAUCUUAUAGAAUCCAUUUUUUUGGAUAUCGCUCCCAAUAAAAAAUCAAAAAAUCAUAUAUACCUGUUGUAGCCAUUCUUGUGGGAACAAGUAAACCAGCCAAAAAUAUAAAGAAAACGAACAAGGUAAGUGUAGCUUUGUCUAACAUUUUUAUCAAGCACUUAAGAAAAUAAAUUACUUUUUGCAUGUGAGAUCGACUAGUGUCAAUUUAUUUAUUUUAGAAGGGUUCAAUUGCACUGAAAUGUUAAAUUUAUUUAGAAGUUUUAUUAUAAAGACUUUCUUGGUAAUGAAGUCAAGUCUUACUUUAAAUUCCACACGUUUUAAUACUUCAUAAUUUUCAAAAUUAAACAGCAAAAGGUCAUGUGUCAAGUCUUACUUUAUAUAGCUUUGUAUAACAUUUCAUCCAUUCCUGUAACAUACUCCUUUUGUUCCUUAGACAUGUUUCAUUUUUCGAGAGUCAGUUAACUGGCCGGGUCGGUUUGUUUGGGUUUUGGGUUGGGUUGGAUCGAGUCAGUUUAAUAUCAUUUUCUACUUUCCAUUUCAAGUUGUUUGUCUUAGGUUUCUUUUUAGUCUGUUCUAAAAAGAAUAUUUAUUACAUUUUUUUUAUCCUAAUUUAUGCAAUGGUGUUUGACUUGAUGCAAAAUUUAAAAAAAAAGGCAUACUCCCUUUGUUCCUUUUUAACUAUCAUGUUUCGUUUUUCGAGAGUUAAGUUAACUAAUUAUCAAAAUUUUGUAGUCUCUAGUCUUUGCUAAGUCACGGUUUACACGGGUUUCGGGUCAAUGUAGUUUGAUAAAUUAACAGUUUACGUAGAAUGUAUGUGUCUGCUCAUUCAACUUUAUGUAGUUUAAAUGUAUAUUUGUGCAUAUUUAAUGUUGGAGGACAUAAGCGUAAGCUAAAGUAAGUUCACUACAAGAAAAUGCAUUUAUUGCUAUAAAAUAUCUCGUAGAUAAACAUGAAAAUAUCUGUGGCUAAAUACUUUAGCCACCAAUUUUUUUUCCGUAGCAUUCGUAGCAAGAAGUGGUGUAACUAAAGUUAGUUACAGACUUUAGAUGGUCUGUGGCUAAGGAUAAAUAUUUACAGCUACAAAAAAAUCAUCUUGUAGCUAUGAUGGUAAAAACAUCUUGCUACGAAAUAUAUACUUAUAGCAAAUAAUUUUACUCUUUUGCCACAAUAAAUAAAAUCUGUAACAAUUUUUAUAAUAUAGCCACAAUGUAAUCUCGUUGUUCAAACUUUUGUACCAUUGAUAGUCAAUUAUAUUUUAAAAAUAAUUUAAAUGUUAAUUAUUGAGAUUUAUAAUAUCUUUUUUCUAUUCGAAAUUAAUUAGUGGCACUGAUAUAAUUUUGAGAGUCAAUCAAAUAUUUAUAUCUUUUAAUUUUUUUAAGUUGUUAAUUAUCUUAAUUAAUAGUAUUUUUUACAUGGUUUUUUAAAGAAUAUAACAAAUAUUUUUUUUUAAGAUAUUUUAAGUUGUUAACUAUUACAAUUUAUAAUACUCUUUAUGUAAUUUUUCAAAGCAGAUAUGUUACUUUUAAUGUUUAAAAUUUUAUGACAUUGAUAGUCAAUUAUAUUUUUUAAAUAAUUUAAUUUUUAAAUUAUUAUGUUUUAUAAUUUUUUUUCUAUUCCAAUUUAAGUGGCAUAACAUUUAAAUGACUUGUAAUAACUAAUUAGAAAUGACAUAACAAAAUUAGUAGAAAAAAUACUUGUGAAAAAAAAUUAAGUGGACAUCAUAUAAGACGUCAAGUUAAUAUAAAAUUAAAUAUUAUUAAUUUUUUAAUACUUAGAUGACUUAUACUAAUUUACUACGGGUGAUAUAGUAAAAUUAUAAUUGUAACGGCUGAAGCAGACAUGUUAUAAAUGUCUAUUUUAUUUUUUUAUUAAAUAUUAUUAAUUUACUAAUAUAUAAAUUAUAUAUAAUAAUUAAUUAAAAAAGAUAUAGUAAAAUACAGAACAACAAAAUGAUAUAUCAACAUAAAAUAUUUGAUAAAUAUAAUGCACUAUCCAAUAAUAUUUAAUAUUAUCAUAUUUUGCAUAUGCAAAUAUAGUAUCUCGUAUUUAAUUAAUAUACUAUUCCGGUGAAUUAUCGAUGAUUACUAUUGGAUAUGAUAAAAUUAUAUUAAUUUUUAUAGUAAUAACAUAAUCAAUCGCUCUUAAUUAAUUAUUAUGAGUCAUCUAGGUAUUAAGAAAAUAAAUAAUAUUUAAUGAAAACAAAAUAGACAUAAAAUGCAAAAUUAACUCUUAAUGUUUUAAAUUAAAUUUUCGUCUUUCGAACGAUGAUUUUACUAUAUCACUCCUUAUUAUAAGUCAUUUAUGUAUUAGAAAAAUAAUAAUAACAAAAUGAUAUGUCAACAUAAAAUAUUUGAUUGACAUUAAAAAUACUAGAAAUCACAAUAAUUAACAACUUAAAAAAUUUAAAAGCUAUAAAAUAUUUGGUCGACUCUUGAAAUUAUAUUAGUGUCACUGGAAUUGGAAUAGAAGAAAAGUAUUAUAAAUCACAAUAAUUAAAAACUUAAAUUAUUUUUAAAAUAUAAUUGACUAUCAAUGCCACAAAAAUUUGGACAAGAAAAGUAACGUAUAUUAAUUUAAAAAUUACAUAAAAAAUAUUAUAAAUUACAAUAGUUAACAACUUAAAUUAUCUAAAUACAUAUUAAAAUAACAUAUGUUGAACUCAUGCUAGAUUCCGGAUGAAUUCUAAAAACCAUAUGCAAUCCUUUUAUUUAAAUAUAAUAAGAUUGAAAAGAUAAAUAAAUAUCUUAAUAUUGGACCCGUGCUGACACGGAUCAUGCUCCUCUAGUACCAUAUAUUGACGAAGACCUGUGUGCUUCUCAACUCUUCUACAGAGUAGUAAUUAGUAUUAUUAUAUACUUUUUUAUUCUGAUAAAUUCUUAGAUAAUAUCAUUCAGCUAAAUUUAUGACAAUUAUUAGGUUAUUAAAAUAAUACUAGAUCAUAGCAUGGAUAACUUUAAUACUAAUAAUUGAUUAAUGGAGAUACAAUAUGAUAAAAUUGAUAAACAUACCAUUUCAAAAAAUCAUAUAUGAUCAAAUAACAAUUCUUCAAACUCUUGUUUAGGAUAAAGUUUGAAUGACAUUUAUUAAAUUUUUGCUAAAAUUUAAUACAACUUGUUAAUUUAAAUAAAUGUAAUUAUCCAUUUAUUAAAAUUAAUAAAUAUGUGUGUAAUUGAACGAUUAACAGCUUCAACUAUACUAGAUCGGUAAAAAAAUUGUUCUAAUGAAACAAGUUUUGAGUAAUAACAAUUAUAAAAAUACUUGAUCAAGAUAAAGCUUUAGUGAUCUCAAUAAAGUUAUGUAUUAGUUCGAUACAAUUAGUUUAUCAAAAUUAUAUAGAUAUGAGCACCUCUUAUUGAAAUUUAGUUUACAAAUCUACAUGUAAAUCGAAUAGAAUUGAAUUGAAAGACUAACACCCCCAAUUACAUUAGAUCGAUAAAGAUAUUAUUCUGAUGAAACAAGUUUGAUCAAAUAACGAUUUUGGAAGCACUUGACCAGAAUGAAGCUGCAGUGAGCCCGUGAAGUUAUGUCUAAGUUAGAUACAAUUUAGUUAAUUAAAAUUAUUUGGAUAUAAUCACCUAUUUAUUGAAAUUAUAUUUGAAAUUACUAAAUAGGAUGUAAAAUUAAGUCGAAUUGAAUGAUUAAUACCUUCAAUUACACUAAAUUAAUAAAAAUAUUAUUCCAAUAAACCAAGUUUGAAUCAAAUACAAUUUAGAAAGCACUUAACCAAGAUGAGCUUCAGUGAGUGUGAAGUUAUAUUUAGAUUCGGUAAAACUAGUUAAUCAAAUAUCAUCACCUAUUUAUUGAAACUACAUUUGAAAUAUACAAAGUAAGCUUGUAAAAUUUGCAAUUGAAUUGAAUGAUCAACAUCUCUAACUUACUAGAUUAGUAUUGAUAUGAUAACUUUUAACUCGUGGUAAAAAUAAUUAUUGGAAUCAUAAUAGUAUUGAUAUGAUAACUUUUAACUCGUGGUAAAAAUAAUUAUUGGAAUCACAAUAGAAAAUUUGUGCCUACCUCAUUUUGUAAUGUCAAAUAAUUAAAGGUAAUUAAGUCGUCAAUUAUUGCCACAACUUUUUCAGUACUUGAAGUAAUUUCUUUUUAUUUAACUAUAAUAUUUUUUUUAAUGAAUCGUUUUAUGACUAAAAGAUUACUAUUGCUACAAAAAAUUUUAACACAUAGUAAAAAUUAAUAAUUAGCAUUGUUAGUUAAUUAUGCUACCAUUAUUUUGUUACUUGAAGAAAAAAUUAUUUAUUUAGCUAUAAUUUUUUAUUUCAAAUAAUCUACUGUUAAAACGUUACUAUUACUAUAAUAAAUUUAAACUUAUGGCAAAAACUAAUAAUUAGCUAUGAAAUUUUAUUAUAGCAAAAGACGUGACAAUUUUAGUUAACUAUUGCCACAAUUAUUUUGUGACUUGAAGCAAAAAUAUCAAUUUAACUACAAUCUUUGAUUUAAGAUAACUUAUUGUGGCUAAAAGGUUACUAUUAAUACAAUAAAUUUAAACUCAUGGCAAAAAUUAAUAAUUAGCUACUAAAUUUUACUAUAGCAUAAAGACGUGGCUAUAUCUUCUAACAAUUGCUAUAAUUUUUUAUAAUUUGAAGCAAAAAUAUAUAUUUAGCUACAAUAUUUUGCUUCAAAUAAUUUACUGUGGCUAAAAAGUUAUUAUUGCUACAAUAACUUAUAUAACGUAGUAAAAAUAUAUUAUUAGCUAUAAAAUUUUAUUGUAGCGAUAAAGUUGUAGCUAUUUAGGCCAUUAUUGCAUCGAUUGUUAGCAAUUGUAGCAAAAAUGAGGGAUUAGCUUUGUCAAUAAUAUUUUUGUGGCUAAAAUUUUUUACAAAUUUAAAACAACUACGAAAUUCAAUUUUUCGUAGCUAUUAUUAGGUAAUAGCCACAAAUUUUACAUUCAUAGCUUAAAUUUCGUGGCUAUAAAUACAUUUUGUUGUAGUGGUUAAAGAGCACGUUUAUCUAUUCUGUUUCCAAAUUCGACAUUCUCUAUGAUAAAUUUAAGACAAUAAAAAGUAACCUUUAACUAGAUGUCAGCUCGUAUUUAUGCUCUCCAUAAAAAGUAAUCUUUCUACUUCAUUUGAGGUAAUGGUAUGGAUUUCGUACACUUUACCCUUCUCAGACUCCACUUUGUGGAAAAUGCACUGGGUAUGUUGUUAUUGUAACUAGGUGUCAGAUUGCAUUUAUACUUUCCAACUUUGGUUUAGUACAAGUAACCACUUAAACUUGUAUAAAGUUAAGUAAUUAGAUACAUGCGUCCUACGUGACAUCUACUUGACAAUUCACGUGAGAUUGCCUGAUUUUUAGUCACACUCAAUUUUUUUAAGGGCAUAAUACAUAAUCUUGUCUUUUAACUUGGUCGCAACUGACAUUCACGCUCUCCAACUUUGAGUAUGCAUAAAUAGACACUUAAAUUUGUAUAAAGUUGAAUAUGUAGACUCACAUGUGUUACGUGGAAUCUACAUGGUAAUUCGCGUGAAGAUGUUCCACGGAGGAUAUGACCUCCAUGCUUUUUUUUUUUUUUAGGUUGACUCGGAAGUUGGUAAAUAUCAACCCUCACCAACAAGAACAAAGUUCGGAUAUAGCCUUCAUGCUUUUGACAUCCAUGGGAAGUACUUCUAGCAAAUACAUAUACAAGUUUAUGAUGAAGCUUAUGCACCAUGCAUGCCGUUUAUUCUUUAUUUUUCAUUUAAUAUUUGAUAUCUGCGUUAAAAUUCGAUUAAAUUUGAAUUUCUGCCCAAGUUGUUCUGAGCUACAUUACUUGCUAAAUUUGCUUAAUUCUACCAAUGUAUGCUUUUGUUGGGUGACAUAAACAAUUCUCCAAUUUUUUGUAAUAUUAGUCUUCUUCAUUAGAAUCAGAAGAAACUAUUCAAUCAUACGUACUCUACUUUACAAAAUAUUAUAGGUUUUUCCUUUGAAAAAUAUAGUGAAUAAUAUAACAAUAUCUAGAGUAGCCAACUACGACGACGACAAUAACAACAUAUAGUGAAUAAUAUAACAAUUUCUAGAGUAAAAUACGAUUUUAAUUAGUCCUGGGGUAAUAGGACCCUCCUAAAGUUCGGGUGUGUCUCAGCCUUUUCGCGUAUAGUUAAAGGUGGUAAUAGAGCAUUUUCCCUAAAAAUAAUAUAAAAACAGUAUAAUUUUUCAUCGAAAGGGGUUCAAAGGUAGCUCCAACACUGGAUAAUAGAGUGCAGGCAGACUUGACCAUACCUCAUGAAGGUAGAGAAGUUGUUUUCGAAAAAAAUAUCUAGAGUGGCCAUCAUUAAAAAAAAAGAAAAGAAAGAACUUGCAGUUUUUUAAUUGGUAUAAGGAUCACUAAUAUUGAUAAUAACUAAGGUACUUUCAUUUAAUACAAUCCAUAUGAGUUUUAGUACGUUUGAAUCUUUUAGAGAAGAUAAAUGCAUGUAUUCAUUGCCAUUUAUUUUUCUGUUUUAAAUAUACAACUAUACUUUACAUAUUCCACAACACAUAAAACAUUUUAUUCAUAAUAUAUGGUUCUAUCAGCUUUUGAGGGUAACGAGGUCAUUUUAACAUCAUCCUGAUUUUUGUCUACACUUAUUUUCUACACUUAUUAUUAUUAUUAUUAUCAUUUUUUCGUAUCCAUCUCUUUUUCUUUUCUCUCGUUAUCUACCUUUAUUUUAUCAUUCUUUAUGACUUUUGUCUUUUAUUUUUCUUUAAAAGAGGAAACAUAAUGAAAAACAACGAAACAAAAUGAUUAGAUCGAACCCAAAAGUAGGUUGCCUACGUAUCGUGUUGUACAUGAAUCAGAUCUUGCGUAGUUCGGACAGUUUUGCCAAAAUGACCAAUUAAACUUUUCCUUUCUUUUUUCUUUUGUUGAAACUUUAAAAAGAGAAGAAAAUGACAAAUUGUCAAAAGAAUAGACUCUUUUUUGCAUUUUCACUUUUAAAAUUCCUAUACAAAAUGAAACCUAUGAUUACCAAAGAAAAAAAAAUCUUUUUUUUGGAUUUUCGAUUUUGAAUUUAAUAUAAAAAAUGAAACUUGAACCUAUUAAAGAAAAAUCUUUUCGUAGUUUUCUUUUAAAGAUGUAUAUGAAACACCUACUCUAAUAAAGAGUGAAGAAAAUCUUUUUGGAUUUUUGAAAUAAGAUCAACCAAAAAUGAAACCUACGACUAUUGAGGAAAAUCUUUUUUUUUUUUUNNNNNNNNNNNNNNNNNNNNNNNNNNNNNNNNNNNNNNNNNNNNNNNNNNNNNNNNNNNNNNNNNNNNNNNNNNNNNNNNNNNNNNNNNNNNNNNNNNNNNNNNNNNNNNNNNNNNNNNNNNNNNNNNNNNNNNNNNNNNNNNNNNNNNNNNNNNNNNNNNNNNNNNNNNNNNNNNNNNNNNNNNNNNNNNNNNNNNNNNNNNNNNNNNNNNNNNNNNUUUGUUGUUUUUUUUUUUUUUUGACAAAUAAGUAGAAAAGGCAAACAAAACUUUUUUUUUCGCUUUUAGGGUAUUUCGAGAAGACAAAUGCAAAACGUAAAAAAAAUCUUUUUGAGUUUUUGGAUUGUGAAGAACAAAAGCCAUAAAGAGUUCUAAAAUAAACUACGAAAUUCCUCUUUUUUUUUCAUUCUUUUCGACUCACUUUCUCUCUCUCUCUCUCUCUCUAUAUAUAUAUAUAUAUANNNNNNNNNNNNNNNNNNNNNNNNNNNNNNNNNNNNNNNNNNNNNNNNNNNNNNNNNNNNNNNNNNNNNNNNNNNNNNNNNNNNNNNNNNNNNNNNNNNNNNNNNNNNNNNNNNNNNNNNNNNNNNNNNNNNNNNNNNNNNNNNNNNNNNNNNNNNNNNNNNNNNNNNNNNNNNNNNNNNNNNNNNNNNNNNNNNNNNNNNNNNNNNNNNNNNNNNNNNNNNNNNNNNNNNNNNNNNNNNNNNNNNNNNNNNNNNNNNNNNNNNNNCCCCCUAAAAUAAGGGUGACUCAACUAGAGGUUGUGUACAACACGUGUACUACGGACUUGUUGCAGAAAGAAGGCCGGGGGUGGACUCAUGAUGCCAGAUAUAAAGCGGUAACACAUAAGAUAAAUACUAUAAACAAAGAGCACGAAAAACACACAAAAGUGCAAACAAUAACCCAAACAAAAUAACAAACAAUGCUUAUACAUUCGUAAUGCCAAACAAAGCCGAUACGAAUCCAAAAAUAGCUCGAAUUCUCAUACUGUCCCCAGCAGAGUCACCAGAAGCUGUCACACCCCUUUUUACGUACUCCAAAAGAUUAUGUUUAAGUGCGAAAGGGUUUUAUUAUUUAAGUGACAAGAAAUGAAAAUUUGUUUCGGAAAAGAAUUAUUUACAUUUUUUUAUUCAGAGUAGCCACUUGGCAUAAUCUGGUGUGCCAAGUCACCAUUGGAAAAUCCUUUUCAAAACCAUUUGACUCUUUAAACUGGUUUGCGAAUAGAGACUCCGGCUAAGGAAUUUUGUUGACCGAGGGGAAGGUGUUAGGCACCCCUCGAUCCCGUGGUUCAACCACGGUCGCUUGAUAGAGUGUAUCAGCUAUUUUGGCACUACGAAAUAUAUAAACCAAACAAAAGCACGCAAAAUAAUCAAACAAUAAAUCAAACAAAAUAAUCAAAAAUGUAAAGUCCAAUCCAAUUAUACAGUCCAAAAAUAGAAAAAUACGAAAAAAUAUAAAUCCUAUUCUAAACUAAAUCUAGACUAAGCCCCAAUGCCUUACCCGACGCCGCGGGCCUUCAUCACGAACGUCCUUCGGGUACAUGAUACCUCGGGGCAUUUCCCGGUGAAUAAAUAUAUAUACAGAUACUUCGGGCCAUUCCCCGACCAAAUUAUACAAUUGAUUUCAAAAGUGAUAAAAUAAAACCAUUCAAUCCAAUUUCAAACAUUCAAUCAACCCACAAUCUCUAGAUUUGCUUACCCGACCUACAUCUUGCCUAUUCCAAUCGACGUAUCUUGAUACUAUCAAAUUUAAUUAACGUUCAUUUCAAGUCAAACACCUAAGGAAUCAACCUAAUCAAAAUUCACUAAUCAUAUCGAGUUUUCAAUUCUCGCCCCACUUAUUCCCACAUGAAUUCAAAUCUUUCAAUUCCUUCAUUCACGUGAAUCAAUCAAUCAAUAUCAACAAUAGUAAUCACGAUUGCUCAAACAUAAUAUCAAAACAUAUCACUACAUCACAAUCAUCAAACAAACACAGUAUUCACUCCAACACACCAAAAUAUAAUAAACAUUAAAUAAAAGAGGGGAAUAGAAUUGGACCUCGAUGCGUAUCUUUCAAACUCAAAUAUAAAUCGAGUGAAAAGACGAAGACCGCGUCCGAGUAUCCCGAGCAGAACCUCGUUCAACAAACUCACAACUCGGAUCAGCUAACUUUUCCAAAGUCAAAUUCGAAACCCAAAUUCGUGAAAGCAACGGACAAACAGAUCGAAAACCAAACUGUUAAUGAAGCAAACCAGGAAAUGACCGUGAGAUGUCGCCGGAUUAUUUUUUGCCCGAACUCGCCGGAAUCGACUGAUUUGGUCACUGUUUCGUAUUUCGCAGCGAUGGAGAGCCUUAUAAUUCUGGCGUGACUUUUCCGGAAACAAACCACGAACCGAACGGCGAUCCAAACAAGGACGAGACGCCGGAGGUGCAGUGAGCUCAGACGGCGGCAAAGACUGACGACAGAAGAGAGAUUCCGGCAAUUUUUACCAUUUUUCGUCAAAAUCGACCCAGAAAUUGAAGAAAAUCAAGGACAUAUCGGGGUUUUGGGAUUGAACGGGAAGGAGCACGAUUUGUAAUGGAUUCCGGUGACCAGUUCGCCGAAAAUAAAAAACUCAAAGGGGCGAUCGGAACUCUGUCAAACGCCGAUUUUGCUACUCUGUUCGCUGAACCUACGCCAAUCACCCUCCAUUUUUUUAUUUACUGAGUGUGUGUGUGCGGUGACGGGAGUGUGAAUUUGGUCAGUGUAUGUGAUGGUGGGUGAAGAGUAUGAUGAAUGAAAAAUUUUGUGAUGGUGUCCGUGAGUAUGGUUGUUUCCGAUGAGGGUGAGUGAAGAAGAUGAAGUUUUUGUUUUUCUGUAAAAAUGGUUUCCGUAUCUGUGUGAAUGAUGCAAAUAGAUCUUCAAUGGAAUGAAAAGUGAAUGUGUGCUUUCUGAAGAAGGAGAAAAAAAUGGAGAAAAUCCUUGUUCUGUGUGUGUAAAUUGGUUAGCCUCCUCCAUAUUCCCAUGGAUGUAGUGUUUAUAUUUGAGGUGAGAGUGGGUAUUGGGGUAGGGUAGGUAGGUUAGGGUAUGGAGUAGUGAUGUGUUGUCCAAA
This 40983-nucleotide long non-coding RNA is filed under the name Capsicum annuum. Its description in RNAcentral is "long non-coding RNA (CANN_LNC018319)". The record is from RNAcentral. Lineage: Eukaryota; Viridiplantae; Streptophyta; Magnoliopsida; Solanales; Solanaceae.